RNAcentral lists this long non-coding RNA (696 nucleotides) under Dasypus novemcinctus (nine-banded armadillo). Its description in RNAcentral is "lncRNA (ENSDNOG00000050071.1)". The record is from RNAcentral. Lineage: Eukaryota; Metazoa; Chordata; Mammalia; Cingulata; Dasypodidae.
GCCGGGACGCCGGGUCGCUCCAGCCCGGGCGGCCUGGGUCUGUUGGCCGCGAGCGGGGCAAGGCUCGGCCUCCUGGCUUGCCGCUCCCGCCGCCGAGGCCGGCGCGCCUGGCGUCCAGCCUCCCGAAGACGGAGCGGCGGCUCCGGCGGCCGCAGCUCGAAUUCUGCCCGCGGACGCCUGGGACGGUGGGGACAGGCUCGGGGCGGGCCCCGGCGUAGCGUGGCGGACCUCUGGGCCAUGGGGACGGGUGCGGGCAAAGCGUCGAGAGUUCCAGGGGCUUGCGGCUCCACCAAGGAUGGAGUCGAGCGGCGGGCACGGGGGCGGCAAGGAACGGCAGCGCCUUUCUGGAGGGUGACGGCGGCUCGCCGCGGGUUUCUGGGAUUAGAGGCCCAGGGCAACGGGAAGGAGAACCUGACAGGGUGGAGACCAAGUUCUCUGUCGCCUGAGGUCAUGGAAUAAACGAGGUCUUCUUGGGGCCCCUGUUGGUGGAAUUAACGUCCACUGUUUUCUCCAACUCUAACGAGUCGAGGGCCAGCAGAUGACGAGGCAGCCCACAAAACUGUCACUGCGUGCGUCCGUGUUUCAGGUCCCGGUGAGAACGUCGGUAGCUGCAAACAGCAGGUACGGCAGAAGGUGCUGUCUUCGCGGCACACCCAAACUGGGAAGCCAGCAGAGCACAUGGUGCUGGCCGCCCAA